This 1262-nucleotide ribosomal RNA is filed under the name Escherichia coli UMEA 3122-1. RNAcentral describes it as "bacterial LSU rRNA". It matches the Rfam family "Bacterial large subunit ribosomal RNA", at positions 1688 to 2925 of the family's 2925-position model. Lineage: Bacteria; Pseudomonadati; Pseudomonadota; Gammaproteobacteria; Enterobacterales; Enterobacteriaceae. The record is from RNAcentral.
GCUUGAGAGAACUCGGGUGAAGGAACUAGGCAAAAUGGUGCCGUAACUUCGGGAGAAGGCACGCUGAUAUGUAGGUGAAGCGACUAGCUCGUGGAGCUGAAAUCAGUCGAAGAUACCAGCUGGCUGCAACUGUUUAUUAAAAACACAGCACUGUGCAAACACGAAAGUGGACGUAUACGGUGUGACGCCUGCCCGGUGCCGGAAGGUUAAUUGAUGGGGUUAGCGGCAACGCGAAGCUCUUGAUCGAAGCCCCGGUAAACGGCGGCCGUAACUAUAACGGUCCUAAGGUAGCGAAAUUCCUUGUCGGGUAAGUUCCGACCUGCACGAAUGGCGUAAUGAUGGCCAGGCUGUCUCCACCCGAGACUCAGUGAAAUUGAACUCGCUGUGAAGAUGCAGUGUACCCGCGGCAAGACGGAAAGACCCCGUGAACCUUUACUAUAGCUUGACACUGAACAUUGAGCCUUGAUGUGUAGGAUAGGUGGGAGGCUUUGAAGUGUGGACGCCAGUCUGCAUGGAGCCGACCUUGAAAUACCACCCUUUAAUGUUUGAUGUUCUAACGUUGGCCCGUAAUCCGGGUUGCGGACAGUGUCUGGUGGGUAGUUUGACUGGGGCGGUCUCCUCCUAAAGAGUAACGGAGGAGCACGAAGGUUGGCUAAUCCUGGUCGGACAUCAGGAGGUUAGUGCAAUGGCAUAAGCCAGCUUGACUGCGAGCGUGACGGCGCGAGCAGGUGCGAAAGCAGGUCAUAGUGAUCCGGUGGUUCUGAAUGGAAGGGCCAUCGCUCAACGGAUAAAAGGUACUCCGGGGAUAACAGGCUGAUACCGCCCAAGAGUUCAUAUCGACGGCGGUGUUUGGCACCUCGAUGUCGGCUCAUCACAUCCUGGGGCUGAAGUAGGUCCCAAGGGUAUGGCUGUUCGCCAUUUAAAGUGGUACGCGAGCUGGGUUUAGAACGUCGUGAGACAGUUCGGUCCCUAUCUGCCGUGGGCGCUGGAGAACUGAGGGGGGCUGCUCCUAGUACGAGAGGACCGGAGUGGACGCAUCACUGGUGUUCGGGUUGUCAUGCCAAUGGCACUGCCCGGUAGCUAAAUGCGGAAGAGAUAAGUGCUGAAAGCAUCUAAGCACGAAACUUGCCCCGAGAUGAGUUCUCCCUGAGACUUAGAGUCUCCUGAAGGAACGUUGAAGACGACGACGUUGAUAGGCCGGGUGUGUAAGCGCAGCGAUGCGUUGAGCUAACCGGUACUAAUGAACCGUGAGGCUUAACCUU